CAAACGAAAAGGCAAACUUAUCGAAAGAUAGGGGCGCAAAGCCAAGGGUCUAAGGUGAAAAACUAUGACAGCCGGUUACCGAA
Regulatory RNA element from Clostridium sp. CAG:411, 83 nucleotides. It matches the Rfam family "c-di-GMP-I riboswitch aptamer". From Rfam's summary of the family: GEMM was predicted in a large-scale screen for bacterial structured RNA regulatory elements. Genes associated with GEMM are involved in a diverse array of functions, including chemotaxis regulation, signal transduction, secretion and chitin. NCBI's taxonomy places the organism in Bacteria, Bacillati, Bacillota, Clostridia, Eubacteriales, Clostridiaceae. The record is from Rfam.